ACUAACCUCGCGCCAGGAACAUGCUGCUGGACCAGUGCCAGCAAAGCUGCCAUGUCUGCCAGAAAGAUGAAGUGCAGCCGCUUCUUGUACCUUCAUCCUGGUCGGUGGGAGCUGGAGGGAUCGGCAUGCCUGCUUCUAAAGGAAUCCCACCCCAGUAGUUGAGCUGAAAGAUGAAGUACCAAGGCCUGGGGAUGCCAUACUGACCUGAGAAUACAUUCACACACAUGUGUCUUCACACCAAAAGGAUAAUACUGGGAAACACUGCUUCAAUGUACCAGGCUGCAAUAGCAUAGAUGAAGGCGUCCACGUAAAGCAUACAUAUGGAGGUGGUGAAGCUGUA
Molecule: long non-coding RNA, 340 nt
Organism: Xiphophorus maculatus (southern platyfish)
Lineage: Eukaryota; Metazoa; Chordata; Actinopteri; Cyprinodontiformes; Poeciliidae
Exons: 3
Source: RefSeq, a predicted model, not a curated record